AACGGCCAUACCAUGCUGAAUAUACCGGUUCUCGUUAGAUCACCGAAGUCAAGCAUCAUUGGGCGCGGUCAGUACUUGGGUGGGUGACCACCUGGGAAACA
This 101-nucleotide ribosomal RNA is filed under the name Caerostris extrusa. Lineage: Eukaryota; Metazoa; Arthropoda; Arachnida; Araneae; Araneidae. The record is from RNAcentral.